Molecule: ribosomal RNA, 361 nt
Filed under: Microdon rieki
Lineage: Eukaryota; Metazoa; Arthropoda; Insecta; Diptera; Syrphidae
Description: SSU rRNA
Rfam family: Eukaryotic small subunit ribosomal RNA
Source: RNAcentral
GCAGGCGCGUAAAUUACCCACUCCCAGUUCGGGGAGGUAGUGACGAAAAAUAACAAUACAGGACUCAUAUCCGAGGCCCUGUAAUUGGAAUGAGUACACUUUAAAUCCUUUAACAAGGACCUAUUGGAGGGCAAGUCUGGUGCCAGCAGCCGCGGUAAUUCCAGCUCCAAUAGCGUAUAUUAAAGUUGUUGCGGUUAAAACGUUCGUAGUUGAAUUUGUGCUUCAUGCAGGUAGUACAGCUAUAAUCGUAGUUUGUACAUUACCUUAUGUAUGUAAGCGUAUUAUCGGUGGAGUUCUAAUAUAUGAUAGUAAAUAUUAUUAUUAUAUAUACCUCCUAUAUGAAACCUACUUCAGUGCUCUU